This 465-nucleotide ribosomal RNA is filed under the name uncultured bacterium. Its description in RNAcentral is "partial 16S ribosomal RNA". It matches the Rfam family "Bacterial small subunit ribosomal RNA", at positions 338 to 795 of the family's 1533-position model. The record is from RNAcentral.
UCUACGGGAGGCAGCAGUGGGGAAUAUUGCGCAAUGGGCGAAAGCCUGACGCAGCGACGCCGCGUGAGGGAUGAAGGUCUUCGGAUCGUUAACCUCUGUCUGCAGGGAAGAAUGGUCACUGUGCUAUUCAGCAGUGAAUUUACGGUACCUGCAAAGGUAGCACCGGCUAAUUCCGUGCCAGCAGCCGCUGUAAUACGGAGGGUGCGUGCGUUAAUCGGAAUUACUGGGCGUAAAGGGUGUGCAGGUGGUUUUGCAAGAUUGAUGUGAAAGCCCCGGGCUUAACCGGUGAAAGCCAUACAUGACUGGAAGACUAGAGUGCGUCAGAGGGGGGUGGAAUUCGAAGUGUAGCAGUGAAAUGCGUAGAUAUUUGGAAGAACACCGAUGGCGAAGGCAGCCCCCUGGGACGCAACUGACGCUCAUACACGAAAGCGUGGGGAGCAAACAGGAUUAGAUACCCCAGUAGUC